AUACGGAAGGUCCGGGCGUUAUCCGGAUUUAUUGGGUUUAAAGGGAGCGCAGGCGGAGAUGCAAGCGUGACGUCAAAUUUCGGGGCUCAACCCCGUCUCGCGUCGCGAACUGCGUCCCUUGGUUGCGGGAAGGGGAGGCGGAACUCGUGGUGUAGCGGUGAAAUGCAUAGAUAUCACGAAGAACUCCGAUCGCGAAGGCAGCCUUCCGGCCCGUCAACGACGCUCAUGCUCGAAGGUGCGGGUAUCAAACAGGAUUGGAUACCCUGGUAGUCCGCACAGUAAACGAUGGACACCCGCGGUUUGGCCUAUAUGGCUGAGCCGCCAAGCGAAAGCGUUAAGUGUCCCACCUGGGAGUACGCCGGCAACGGUGAAACUCAAAGGAAUUGACGGGG
This 392-nucleotide ribosomal RNA is filed under the name uncultured bacterium. RNAcentral describes it as "partial 16S ribosomal RNA". It matches the Rfam family "Bacterial small subunit ribosomal RNA", at positions 523 to 918 of the family's 1533-position model. The record is from RNAcentral.